UGUGUGUGUGUGUGUGUGUGUUCUUGUGGCUAGCAGUCGGAAAAAAAUGACUGCAAAAAUUGGGAUGUUAUUUGGUUCAUUGGUCAUCUUUUUGCAUUUAUGUCUUGCCUAUUGUUACACUUGCUUUGGACAUUGGAAACUAUAUGGUCUCUAAUUGUUUAUGUAUUUGUUUGUUAUUGUUCUUUGUUUGAAUAAUUCAUUCUUUUAUUAUUUCAAAUUCUCUUUAAUUUUCAGCUUUCUGUUAUAUUUUAGUUCAUUGUAAUGAUUGCCUAUGUGCCAUUUUCUUGAAUUCUCCUUGAAUAUUGUUCUUUAGUAAUCAUCAAGAUAUCUAAGUCAG
This 337-nucleotide unclassified non-coding RNA is filed under the name Hevea brasiliensis (rubber tree). Lineage: Eukaryota; Viridiplantae; Streptophyta; Magnoliopsida; Malpighiales; Euphorbiaceae. The record is from RNAcentral.